This 499-nucleotide ribosomal RNA is filed under the name uncultured bacterium. RNAcentral's name for it is "partial 16S ribosomal RNA". It matches the Rfam family "Bacterial small subunit ribosomal RNA", at positions 28 to 507 of the family's 1533-position model. The record is from RNAcentral.
GACGAACGCUGGCGGCGUGCUUAACACAUGCAAGUCGAACGGGCCUGUCUUCUUUUUUGGGGGUGGGUUGAGUGGCGAACGGGUGAGUAUCACGUGAGUAACCUGCCCUUCGGUCCUGGAUAACCGCUUGAAAGGGCGGCUAAUACGGGGUGGUCCGGUUGGUCCGCAUGGGCUGGUCGGGAUAGAUUCACUGUUUUUGGUGUUUCGGCGGGGGAUGGGCUCGCGGCCUAUCAGCUUGUUGGUGGGGUGAUGGCCUACCAAGGCGGUGACGGGUAGCCGGCCUGGGAGGGUGGGCGGCCACACUGGGACUGAGAUACGGCCCAGACUCCUGCGGGAGGCAGCAGUGGGGGGUAGUGCACAAUGGGCGGAAGCCUGAUGCAGCGACGUCGCGUGAGGGAUGGAGGCCUUCGGGUUGUGAACCUCUGUUUCCGGUGGUGAAGGCCCUGUCCGUGUGGUGGGGUUGACGGUAGCCGGGGAUGAAGCGCCGGCUAACUACGUG